Small nuclear RNA from Ochotona princeps (American pika), 107 nucleotides. The record is from Ensembl. Lineage: Eukaryota; Metazoa; Chordata; Mammalia; Lagomorpha; Ochotonidae.
AUGCUCACUUCGACAGCACAUAUACUAGAAUUGAAAUGAUACAGAGAAGAUUAGCAUGUUCCUUGCGGAAGGAUGACACGCAAAUUUGUGAGGAAAUGAGCAUUUAU